Molecule: non-coding RNA, 356 nt
Organism: Coriobacteriaceae bacterium
Lineage: Bacteria; Bacillati; Actinomycetota; Coriobacteriia; Coriobacteriales; Coriobacteriaceae
Source: Rfam
GAAGUGGGCCAGACGAUCGCGGGACGCGCUUGCGCGUCAUGAGGAAAGUCCGGGCUCCACAGGGCAGGAAGCAGGCUAACGGCCUGGCGGGGUGACCCGACGGAAAGCGCCGCAGAAAAGAAGACUCCCGCUGCUCGCGCAAGCGAGUGAGAGAAAAGCUGAAACGGUGGUGCAAGAGACCACCAGCGUCGUGGCAACACGGCGGCUUGGCAAGCCCCUUCCGGAGCAAUCGCAAAUAGGAGCGUCAUGGUGCGGCCCGCACCGCGCUCGGGUUGCGAGCUAGAGGGCGUCGGUAACGGCGUCAGUAGAUAAAUGAUCGUCCACGACAGAACCCGGCUCAUCGGCCCACUUCGCAC